UAAAUUAAAUGUUAGUAGGCAGCGGAAAUUAGAAAGUUUAUUUUUUAAUACUUUUAGGUUCAGUGCGAUGUUAUAAAUGUUUUAAAGCCAUUACCCGCUUAAAUAUAUUGCCCGAUGUUGAUUCAUUUGCCAGCCACUUUCCACGCAUUUGCGCCUUAAACGAAAAAACUCCACUUUCGGUGGAGAUGCGCCCCCCAAAAGUCAUUAACAUUUAACCGAUCAAAGCGCCGAGGUGAGCGAAACAGGUGAAAUCAGCCAUUCAAUGCCUCCACCCGCAAUCGGAGCCACAAAAACAGCCGGGAAGAGCAACAAUCGGUGGCGCCAAAAAAGAGAAGAGCGGAAUAUCAAAUUGCAACGCAAAAGUGCCGGCUUUAAUGCCACAGUCGCGGAAACACGCGCUUUAUCAGAUACCCUAUAUCAUUUAGUUUCAACAAAAGGGCGAGCUUUAUUGCCACAGUCGCGGAAACACGCGCUCUAUCAGAUACCCUCUCAACAUGUAUCGUGAAUCUUAAAAGAAAGGGUAUGAGAUAGUGUUGUUAAGAGCGGCGUUUGGUUCCUGCAUUUGCGUUUAAUUACGGAAUAAUCCAAAGCGAUUGCGGAACAGGAAAAUCGAUAUGGAGUGGUAAUGGUGGAUGGGCGGCAGUUCCUGGCGGCUGUGGGCAUCCGUGUCAGUCCCAAUGAUCCAGCGGCGGACAGGCCGUUGACGCUGCUAACCCAAUUAAACUGUCGCCCGACUGAGCAGACAGCAUCCCCCUCAUGGAGUCUAUGGAGUCCACCCCCUGCUCCUCCGACACCCCCACUGCAUUGGCGCCGUGGACCACAUCCACCGAGUAGCAACUGUUGGGUCUGCCGUGCACUGGCACUGUGCCCAAAUAAACCGCAGGAGCAAAAGCCACCGCUCCUCCAUGGCCAGCAACUCCUGCUCAUCGCCCUGCUCAUUCGCUUCGUGGCGCUUCAAUAGCAAUUUGGUUAAACUCCUUUUUAAAUUCAGCCGCACUUCCGACUCACCGGAGUGGAGACUCCUUGGAGUGGAGACAGACUCUGAGAUGUCCUGAGAUUCGGAAUAUAAGUGCUUCUAUAAUAUCUGAGCGGAAUAUAAAACUGCGACCUGAAAUUGAAUCGAAUGUUUUGUUUUGCUUUAGUCCUUGAAAAGUUCCCCCCACUGCCCGAAUAUCCUGUGGAUUCCUGCGGCAGGACAAUUUUCAGCGUCGUAAACGGGCAAAUUUCAUUAGCAUCUCGGGCUAGACAUCAUCUGCCGAACAAAAGACGGCGAAAAGAAAUCUCCGGAAUGAAACCAUUUCACUCAGUCUGUC
Molecule: long non-coding RNA, 1313 nt
Organism: Drosophila teissieri
Lineage: Eukaryota; Metazoa; Arthropoda; Insecta; Diptera; Drosophilidae
Exons: 4
Source: RefSeq, a predicted model, not a curated record